Molecule: ribosomal RNA, 870 nt
Filed under: uncultured bacterium
Lineage: Bacteria
Description: bacterial SSU rRNA
Rfam family: Bacterial small subunit ribosomal RNA
Source: RNAcentral
AUUUCUGAGUACUGGAGAGGAAAGUGGAAUUCUUAGUGUAGGGGGAAAUGCGUAGAUAUUAGGAGGAACACCAGUGGCGAAGGGGACUUUCUGGACAAGAAACUGACGUUGAGGCACGAAAGUGUGGGGAGCAAACAGGAUUAGAUACCCUGGUAGUCCACACCGUAAACGAUGGAUACUAGGUGUAGGGUAUAAUAAAUACUCUGUGCCGUCGCAAACGCAGUAAGUAUCCCACCUGGGGAGUACGGCCGCAAGGUUGGAACUCAAAGGAAUUGACGGGGGCCCGCACAAGCAGUGGAGUAUGUGGUUUAAUUCGACGCAACGCGAAGAACCUUACCAGGGCUUGACAUAUACAGGAAUAUAUAAGAGAUUAUAUAGCUCUUCGGAGUCUGUAUACAGGUGGUGCAUGGUUGUCGUCAGCUCGUGUCGUGAGAUGUUGGGUUAAGUCCCGCGACGAGCGCAACCCCUGUUUCUAGUUACCAGCACGUGAUGGUGGGGACUCUAGAGAGACUGCCGGUGAUAAAUCGGAGGAAGGUGGGGACGACGUCAAAUCAUCAUGCCCUUUAUGCCCUGGGCUACACACGUACUACAAUGGCUAUAACAAAGAGAAGCGAGACCGAGAGGUGGAGCAAAACUCAAAAAAGUAGUCUCAGUUCGGAUUGAAGGCUGAAAUUCGCCUACAUGAAGCCGGAAUUGCUAGUAAUGGCAGGUCAGCAUACUGCCGUGAAUACGUUCCCGGGCCUUGUACACACCGCCCGUCACACCAUGAGAGUUGGGAAUACCCGAAGCCUGUGAGCUAACGCAAGAGGCAGCAGUCGAAGGUAGAAUCAAUGAUUGGGGUGAAGUCGUAACAAAGGUAGCCGUAAAGCC